This 446-nucleotide ribosomal RNA is filed under the name uncultured bacterium. RNAcentral describes it as "partial 16S ribosomal RNA". It matches the Rfam family "Bacterial small subunit ribosomal RNA", at positions 338 to 795 of the family's 1533-position model. The record is from RNAcentral.
CCUACGGGUGGCAGCAGUCGAGAAUCAUUCACAAUGGGGGAAACCCUGAUGGUGCGACGCCGCGUGGGGGAAUGAAGUUCUUCGGAUUGUAAACCCCUGUCAUGUGGGAGCAAAUUAAAAAGAUCGUACCACAAUAGGAAGAGCCGGCUAACUCUGUGCCAGCAGCCGCGGUAAUACAGAGGUCUCAAGCGUUGUUCGGCAUCACUGGGCGUAAAGCGUGCGUAGGCUGUUUCGUAAGUCGUGUGUGAAAGGCGCGGGCUCAACCCGCGGACUGCACAUGAUACUGCGAGACUAGAGUAAGGGAGGGGGAACCGGAAUUCUCGGUGUAGCAGUGAAAUGCGUAGAUAUCGAGAGGAACACUCGUGGCGAAGGCGGGUUCCUGGACAUUAACUGACGCUGAGGCACGAAGGCCAGGGGAGCGAAAGGGAUUAGAUACCCGUGUAGUC